Molecule: ribosomal RNA, 599 nt
Filed under: uncultured bacterium
Lineage: Bacteria
Description: bacterial SSU rRNA
Rfam family: Bacterial small subunit ribosomal RNA
Source: RNAcentral
UAAAGAUUCAUCGCUGAUAGAUAGGCAUGCGUUCCAUUAGGCAGUUGGCGGGGUAACGGCCCACCAAACCGACGAUGGAUAGGGGUUCUGAGAGGAAGGUCCCCCACAUUGGUACUGAGACACGGACCAAACUCCUACGGGAGGCAGCAGUGAGGAAUAUUGGUCAAUGGGCGUAAGCCUGAACCAGCCAAGUCGCGUGAGGGAUGAAGGUUCUAUGGAUCGUAAACCUCUUUUAUAAGGGAAUAAAGUGCGGGACGUGUCCCGUUUUGUAUGUACCUUAUGAAUAAGGAUCGGCUAACUCCGUGCCAGCAGCCGCGGUAAUACGGAGGAUCCGAGCGUUAUCCGGAUUUAUUGGGUUUAAAGGGUGCGUAGGCGGCCUUUUAAGUCAGCGGUGAAAGUCUGUGGCUCAACCAUAGAAUUGCCGUUGAAACUGGGAGGCUUGAGUAUGUUUGAGGCAGGCGGAAUGCGUGGUGUAGCGGUGAAAUGCUUAGAUAUCACGCAGAACCCCGAUUGCGAAGGCAGCCUGCCAAGCCAUGACUGACGCUGAUGCACGAAAGCGUGGGGAUCAAACGGGAUUAGAUACCCUGGUAGUCCACGCA